GAUGAACGCUGGCGGCGCGCCUAACACAUGCAAGUCGAACGAUUAAAGCACCUUCGGGUGUGUAUAAUGUGGCGAACUGCUGAGUUACACGUGUGCAACCUGCCCCUUUCAUUGGGAUAUCCACGGUAAACCUUGGAUAAUACCUAAUACUUCGCAACUUCCUCAUGGACGCCUCGAGAACGCUCCGGCGGCGAGGGAUGGGCCCGCGGCCUGUUAGCUUGUUGCUGGGGUAACGGCCUACCAAGGCAAUGGUGGGUAGCUGGGUUGAGAGACCGACCAGCCAGGUUGGGCCUGAGACACGGCACGGACUCCUACGGGAGGCAGCAGUGGGGGAACUUGCAAAAGGGGAGGAAGCCUGAUGCAGCGACGCGGCGUGCCGGAUGAAGGCCUUCGGGUUGUAAACCGCUUUCAGCAGGGACGCGGCGAAAGUGACGGUACCUGCAGAAGAAGCCCCGGCUAACUACGUG
Molecule: ribosomal RNA, 467 nt
Filed under: uncultured bacterium
Lineage: Bacteria
Description: partial 16S ribosomal RNA
Rfam family: Bacterial small subunit ribosomal RNA
Source: RNAcentral